GGAACAUUAGUUCAGAGGUAGAACAACUGGCUGUUAACCAGUAUGUCACAGGUUCUAUUCCUGUAUGUUCCG
Molecule: transfer RNA, 72 nt
Filed under: Lachnospiraceae bacterium
Lineage: Bacteria; Bacillati; Bacillota; Clostridia; Lachnospirales; Lachnospiraceae
Description: tRNA-Asn
Rfam family: tRNA
About the family: Transfer RNA (tRNA) molecules are approximately 80 nucleotides in length. Their secondary structure includes four short double-helical elements and three loops (D, anti-codon, and T loops). Further hydrogen bonds mediate the characteristic L-shaped molecular structure. tRNAs have two regions of fundamental functional importance: the anti-codon, which is responsible for specific mRNA codon recognition, and the 3' end, to which the tRNAs corresponding amino acid is attached (by aminoacyl-tRNA synthetases). tRNAs cope with the degeneracy of the genetic code in two manners: having more than one tRNA (with a specific anti-codon) for a particular amino acid; and 'wobble' base-pairing, i.e. permitting non-standard base-pairing at the 3rd anti-codon position.
Source: RNAcentral